CCUACGGGAGGCAGCAGUGAGGAAUAUUGGUCAAUGGUCGAAAGACUGAACCAGCGACGCCGCGUGAGGGAAGAAGGAUUUCGGUACGUAAAGCUCUUUCAGCAGGGAAGAAAAUGACGGUACCUGACUAAGAAGCCCCGGCUAUCUACGUGACAGGAGCCCCGGUAAUACGUAGGGGGCCGGCGUUAUCCGGAUUUACGGGGUGUAAAGGGGGCGUAGAGGGGUGGGCAAGUAUGGAGUGAAAUGCCUGGGGCCAACGCCGGAACUGCGUUGGAAACUGUGAAGCUGGAGUGCAGGAGAGGUAAGCGGAAUGCGUGGUGUAGCGGUGAAAUGCGUAGAUAUCAGGAAGAACACCGGUGGCGAAGGCGGCUUACUGGACUGUAACUGACGCUGAGGCUCGAAGGCGUGGGGAGCAAACAGGAUUAGAUACCCGAGUAGUC
RNAcentral lists this ribosomal RNA (440 nucleotides) under uncultured bacterium. Its description in RNAcentral is "partial 16S ribosomal RNA". It matches the Rfam family "Bacterial small subunit ribosomal RNA", at positions 338 to 795 of the family's 1533-position model. The record is from RNAcentral.